GCUGAAUGGCGCAGCGGAAGCGCGCCGGGCUCAUAACCCGGAGGAGUAAGUUCAUAUCCCCUAUUUCUUCA
Non-coding RNA from Zopfia rhizophila CBS 207.26, 71 nucleotides. NCBI's taxonomy places the organism in Eukaryota, Fungi, Ascomycota, Dothideomycetes, Zopfiaceae. The record is from the annotation of a GenBank genome assembly.